Long non-coding RNA from Nicotiana tabacum (common tobacco), 1132 nucleotides. RefSeq lists it as uncharacterized. The record is from RefSeq and is a predicted model, not a curated record. NCBI's taxonomy places the organism in Eukaryota, Viridiplantae, Streptophyta, Magnoliopsida, Solanales, Solanaceae.
UUUCCCCCAAAUUGACCGAGCUGCUCUUCUUUGUCCUGUCCCUUUGCCUCUCUUGAGCAUGGAGCAAAAUUCAUCAUCCACACUUUGUUAAUCCAUCUUGGCGUGUACCCUAAUUAUGGGUUUCUUAGUGCAUGCGUUCAUGGAGAAUAGUAGCAUGGAGUAAAGCGUGCUAAGAAAACAUGAUACACCUCAAUUCCAUGGUUCAAUAGAUAUCGAAUUGCACUGGAAGUGGCCUCUGCCCUCGCCUUCCUUCACAAAUCCCGCAAACAUAUUGCUUGGCCUCUCAACCGUGAUCUUUGUUUCUUCAUGGUGACCAUGUGGAUUAUGUAUAUGAAUGUGGUUAUUUGCUCAAGCGCCUCUAUGAAAUUUUCUGCUAAGGUGCGCAUACUGCUACUUCAUUCAGCAUACGAAAUUUUCCCCUGAAGCAACAAUAGUACAAUACUUGAUAAGAAAGGAUUUUGAAAAACUUGUGAGCUCUCCUUAUCGUCUGUAGAACCAGCACAGAUGGGCUGAUUAUUGUACAAUUAAAUUUUCAUCUCAAAGGUGUUGCAUGAGUCGGUCUGGGCUGGGAGGAACUGUUAUUUUUUCAUUAUAUUUUGUAUCAUUUCUUUGACUCUUUUGUUGUCCUAGAGAUUCAGGUGCAAAUAUUGAUGUUGUACAAAUAGAAAUUCCAAAUCAAAGGUGGUUUUCCGUGCAAAGAGAUUAAAUUGUUCAGAUUGUGGAUUUACAUAUAUUCAAUCUUUAAGAGUUGUUCAAAAAUUACACUUGGAACCUGCCCUUGGAGAAACUAUGAUGUUUCCAUAUCAAAUACUUCUCCGCUUUACUGUGACUGAAGAUUCGGGCGCUACAAUCCUGCUACUGAGGGUUGACAGUUUCAGCAGAUCUUCGGAGGUUCACUAGGUAGCUGCUUGGCGAUUCGCAACCUAGUGCAACCUUCCUCUAUCUUAUUUCUUUUCUGAUUCAGUUAUUUAGUAGUAGAGUAGACUUUCAGGCUGGUAGUAUUGUUUUAGAUGUUCAUGACUAGUGACACCCCGAUGUCGGGUUGUGUUGGCUUUAAUUUUCGCAAAUUAUAUUGUUAAAUGCUUAUUUUGGGAUCUUAUUUUGAUUAAAGACUUAGUAGUUAUUAUUUUAA